This 253-nucleotide ribosomal RNA is filed under the name uncultured bacterium. RNAcentral's name for it is "partial 16S ribosomal RNA". It matches the Rfam family "Bacterial small subunit ribosomal RNA", at positions 524 to 776 of the family's 1533-position model. The record is from RNAcentral.
UACGAAGGGGGCGAGCGUUGUUCGGAUUUACUGGGCGUAAAGGGCGCGCAGGCGGCGAUUUUUGUCAGGCGUGAAAGCCCCGGGCUCAACCUGGGAACUGCGUUUGAUACGGGAUUGCUAGAGAUCGGGAGAGGAGAGUGGAAUUCCCAGUGUAGAGGUGAAAUUCGUAGAUAUUCGCAAGAACACCAGUGGCGAAGGCGGCUCACUGGCCCGAUACUGACGCUGAGGCACGAAAGCGUGGGGAGCAAACAGG